ACCAAGCUGGAGGCGGCCAGGACGAAAGAAGCCGGCCGCGCCCCUUAAACACAUACAGGUGUCCACCUCGCCCUCCUCCUCCUCCUCCCCGUGGGGGCCUCCACCCAGUCCGGGAACCCAGGACAAUGAAGGAGGCAAACGAAAGCGAGGAGAGACAGGAGUCCCACAACCACCACCCCCUACAAGUGCACAGACAGGUUACAGGUAGGACCGAAACGCAGCCCGAGUUCCGGUCCCCCCAAGCCUGGGAGAUGUGGAUCCAGAACCCCAGCUUCCGCCGUCUGACCCCAAGGGCCACAUGGGAACCUCUGCCUGCAACUCGUAACCUGAGCAAGGACUGACCCUUCUUCAAGUCUCAGCUUGCUUUCCUGUGAAAUGGCUCCCUGCUAUGGCACCUGGGAAAGCAGCGGAAGAUGGCCCAAGUGCUUGGGCCCUGGCCACCCACGUGGGAGACCCGGAUGGAGCUCCUGGCUCCUGGCUUUGGAUCAGUGCAGCUCCAGCCAUUGCGGCCAUCUGGGGAGGGAACCAACGGAUGGAAGAUAUCUCUCUCUCUCUCUCUCUCUCUCUCUCUCUCCCUUGCAAAUAAAUAAAUCUGACAUUGGAGUGGACUGGGUUCUGUUUCCGGCUCCAGCUUCCUGUUCAUGGGCACCGUGGGAAAGCAGCAGGUGCCGGCUCAAGUGCUUGGGUCCCUGCCACUCAUAGGGGAGACCCGGAUGGAGCUCCCACAUCCUGGAUUCGGCCUGGCCCAGCCCUGGCUGUUGCAAGCAUUUCAGGAGUGACCCAGUGGGUGGGAGAUUUCUCUUGUCUCUGUCCUCUGGUUCACUCCCCAGAUGGCCACAAGGGCCAGGAGCCAGCAACUCCAUCCUGGUCUCCCACGUGGGUGGCAGGGGCCCAAGCCCUUGGGCUGUCACCUGCUGCUCCCAGGUGCACUAGCAGGGAGCUGGAUGGGAAGUGGAGCAGCAGGAACUCAAAUUCUCUCUCGGGUAUGGAUGCUGGCACUGCAGGCAGCGGCUUUACCUGCUACGCCACAGUGCCUACCCCAGGUAUAGGGUUUAAUAGCUGGGCACCUCCCCUUGGCCCUGGGGUGGGGGUGGGGGAGUGUCCUCUCAGGCUUGGGACCCCUGGCAGGCAAGGGCCCUUCUCAGCAGAUCAAGGUCAGAAUUGCACAGUGUGACUGGGGCUGAGACCAGCAAAGCACGGAGCCCUAGAGGGGGCCUUGCCCCAACAUGUAGAAUGAGAGAUCUUUUGUUUUAAAAGGUCUAUUAGGCCGGCGCCACGGCUCACUAGGCUAAUCCUCCACCUAGCGGCGCCGGCACACCAGGUUCUAGUCCCGGUUGGGGCGCCGGAUUCUGUCCUGGUUGCCCCUCUUCCAGGCCAGCUCUCUGCUGUGGCCCGGGAGUGCAGUGGAGGAUGGCCCAAGUGCUUGGGCCCUGCACCCCAUGGGAGACCAGGAUAAGCACCUGGCUCCUGGCUUCGGAUCAGCCGGCCGUAGCGCACCAGCCGUGGCGGCCAUUGGAGAGUGAACCAACGGCAAAAGGAAGACCUUUCUCUCUGUCUCUCUCUCUCACUGUCCACUCUGCCUGUCAAAAAAAAAAAAAAAAAAAAAAAAAAAAAAAAAAGGUCUAUUUAUCUAUUUAUUUGACAGGCAGAAAGAUAGAGACAGGGAGAGACAGAGACAAAGACAGAGAUCUCCCAUCGGCUGGUUCACUCCCCAAAUGCCCACACAGCCAGAGCUUGGGCCGGGAGCCUGGAACUCCAUCCGGGUCUCCCACGUGGGUAGCGGGCACCCAAGCACUUGGACCAUCUUCCACUGCUUUCCCAGGCAGCAUUAGCAGGGAGCUGGAUCGGAAGUGGAGCAGCCGGGACUAGAACCAGUGCUUGCAUACGGGGUGUGCAUGCCCCAAGUGGCAGCUCCACCAGCUGCUCCUCUGGGCAGUCUGCUGGGAAAGACGCUGCUGGCCCUUUAAGAACAGGUGUAGGGAGGCCCCAAAUCCCAUCUCCGAGCACCUGCCCUGGAGUCCCCCUCUGGCUCCCAAUCCAAGCUUCCUAUAGGCACACACCCUUGGAGGCAGCAGAGAUGGCCCAAGGACUUGGGUCCCUGCUACCCAUGUGGAAGACCCGGAUGAAACUCCUGGCUCCUGGCCUUGAUCUGGCCCACCCCCACCCCCACCCGCCAUUCACUGUUGCAGCUAUCUGGGGGUGAACACACAGCAGAUGUGUGUGUCUCUCCCUCUCUGUAACCUUGCCUUCCAAAUAAAUAAGAUAAAUACACCAUCAAAUGAAUUUUUUUAAUGACUGGGUUUUAUUUAUUUAUUUUACUUCUGUGUAGUAUUCAAUAGAGUACAUAGCCCAUAAUUUCUUUUCUUUUUU
This is a non-coding RNA of Oryctolagus cuniculus (rabbit), 2370 nucleotides long. NCBI's taxonomy places the organism in Eukaryota, Metazoa, Chordata, Mammalia, Lagomorpha, Leporidae. The record is from RefSeq and is a predicted model, not a curated record.